RNAcentral lists this ribosomal RNA (2907 nucleotides) under Escherichia coli. Its description in RNAcentral is "partial 23S ribosomal RNA". It matches the Rfam family "Bacterial large subunit ribosomal RNA". The record is from RNAcentral. Lineage: Bacteria; Pseudomonadati; Pseudomonadota; Gammaproteobacteria; Enterobacterales; Enterobacteriaceae.
ACUAAGCGUACACGGUGGAUGCCCUGGCAGUCAGAGGCGAUGAAGGACGUGCUAAUCUGCGAUAAGCGUCGGUAAGGUGAUAUGAACCGUUAUAACCGGCGAUUUCCGAAUGGGGAAACCCAGUGUGUUUCGACACACUAUCAUUAACUGAAUCCAUAGGUUAAUGAGGCGAACCGGGGGAACUGAAACAUCUAAGUACCCCGAGGAAAAGAAAUCAACCGAGAUUCCCCCAGUAGCGGCGAGCGAACGGGGAGCAGCCCAGAGUCUGAAUCAGUGUGUGUGUUAGUGGAAGCGUCUGGAAAGGCGCGCGAUACAGGGUGACAGCCCCGUACACAAAAAUGCACAUACUGUGAGCUCGAUGAGUAGGGCGGGACACGUGGUAUCCUGUCUGAAUAUGGGGGGACCAUCCUCCAAGGCUAAAUACUCCUGACUGACCGAUAGUGAACCAGUACCGUGAGGGAAAGGCGAAAAGAACCCCGGCGAGGGGAGUGAAAAAGAACCUGAAACCGUGUACGUACAAGCAGUGGGAGCACGCUUAGGCGUGUGACUGCGUACCUUUUGUAUAAUGGGUCAGCGACUUAUAUUCUGUAGCAAGGUUAACCGAAUAGGGGAGCCGAAGGGAAACCGAGUCUUAACUGGGCGUUAAGUUGCAGGGUAUAGACCCGAAACCCGGUGAUCUAGCCAUGGGCAGGUUGAAGGUUGGGUAACACUAACUGGAGGACCGAACCGACUAAUGUUGAAAAAUUAGCGGAUGACUUGUGGCUGGGGGUGAAAGGCCAAUCAAACCGGGAGAUAGCUGGUUCUCCCCGAAAGCUAUUUAGGUAGCGCCUCGUGAAUUCAUCUCCGGGGGUAGAGCACUGUUUCGGCAAGGGGGUCAUCCCGACUUACCAACCCGAUGCAAACUGCGAAUACCGGAGAAUGUUAUCACGGGAGACACACGGCGGGUGCUAACGUCCGUCGUGAAGAGGGAAACAACCCAGACCGCCAGCUAAGGUCCCAAAGUCAUGGUUAAGUGGGAAACGAUGUGGGAAGGCCCAGACAGCCAGGAUGUUGGCUUAGAAGCAGCCAUCAUUUAAAGAAAGCGUAAUAGCUCACUGGUCGAGUCGGCCUGCGCGGAAGAUGUAACGGGGCUAAACCAUGCACCGAAGCUGCGGCAGCGACGCUUAUGCGUUGUUGGGUAGGGGAGCGUUCUGUAAGCCUGUGAAGGUGUGCUGUGAGGCAUGCUGGAGGUAUCAGAAGUGCGAAUGCUGACAUAAGUAACGAUAAAGCGGGUGAAAAGCCCGCUCGCCGGAAGACCAAGGGUUCCUGUCCAACGUUAAUCGGGGCAGGGUGAGUCGACCCCUAAGGCGAGGCCGAAAGGCGUAGUCGAUGGGAAACAGGUUAAUAUUCCUGUACUUGGUGUUACUGCGAAGGGGGGACGGAGAAGGCUAUGUUGGCCGGGCGACGGUUGUCCCGGUUUAAGCGUGUAGGCUGGUUUUCCAGGCAAAUCCGGAAAAUCAAGGCUGAGGCGUGAUGACGAGGCACUACGGUGCUGAAGCAACAAAUGCCCUGCUUCCAGGAAAAGCCUCUAAGCAUCAGGUAACAUCAAAUCGUACCCCAAACCGACACAGGUGGUCAGGUAGAGAAUACCAAGGCGCUUGAGAGAACUCGGGUGAAGGAACUAGGCAAAAUGGUGCCGUAACUUCGGGAGAAGGCACGCUGAUAUGUAGGUGAAGCGACUUGCUCGUGGAGCUGAAAUCAGUCGAAGAUACCAGCUGGCUGCAACUGUUUAUUAAAAACACAGCACUGUGCAAACACGAAAGUGGACGUAUACGGUGUGACGCCUGCCCGGUGCCGGAAGGUUAAUUGAUGGGGUCAGCGCAAGCGAAGCUCUUGAUCGAAGCCCCGGUAAACGGCGGCCGUAACUAUAACGGUCCUAAGGUAGCGAAAUUCCUUGUCGGGUAAGUUCCGACCUGCACGAAUGGCGUAAUGAUGGCCAGGCUGUCUCCACCCGAGACUCAGUGAAAUUGAACUCGCUGUGAAGAUGCAGUGUACCCGCGGCAAGACGGAAAGACCCCGUGAACCUUUACUAUAGCUUGACACUGAACAUUGAGCCUUGAUGUGUAGGAUAGGUGGGAGGCUUUGAAGUGUGGACGCCAGUCUGCAUGGAGCCGGCCUUGAAAUACCACCCUUUAAUGUUUGAUGUUCUAACGUGGACCCGUAAUCCGGGUUGCGGACAGUGUCUGGUGGGUAGUUUGACUGGGGCGGUCUCCUCCUAAAGAGUAACGGAGGAGCACGAAGGUUGGCUAAUCCUGGUCGGACAUCAGGAGGUUAGUGCAAUGGCAUAAGCCAGCUUGACUGCGAGCGUGACGGCGCGAGCAGGUGCGAAAGCAGGUCAUAGUGAUCCGGUGGUUCUGAAUGGAAGGGCCAUCGCUCAACGGAUAAAAGGUACUCCGGGGAUAACAGGCUGAUACCGCCCAAGAGUUCAUAUCGACGGCGGUGUUUGGCACCUCGAUGUCGGCUCAUCACAUCCUGGGGCUGAAGUAGGUCCCAAGGGUAUGGCUGUUCGCCAUUUAAAGUGGUACGCGAGCUGGGUUUAGAACGUCGUGAGACAGUUCGGUCCCUAUCUGCCGUGGGCGCUGGAGAACUGAGGGGGGCUGCUCCUAGUACGAGAGGACCGGAGUGGACGCAUCACUGGUGUUCGGGUUGUCAUGCCAAUGGCACUGCCCGGUAGCUAAAUGCGGAAGAGAUAAGUGCUGAAAGCAUCUAAGCACGAAACUUGCCCCGAGAUGAGUUCUCCCUGACUCCUUGAGAGUCCUGAAGGAACGUUGAAGACGACGACGUUGAUAGGCCGGGUGUGUAAGCGCAGCGAUGCGUUGAGCUAACCGGUACUAAUGAACCGUGAGGCUUAACCUUACAACGCCGAAG